Molecule: ribosomal RNA, 481 nt
Filed under: uncultured bacterium
Lineage: Bacteria
Description: partial 16S ribosomal RNA
Rfam family: Bacterial small subunit ribosomal RNA
Source: RNAcentral
GAUGAACGCUGGCGGCGUGCUUAACACAUGCAAGUCGAACGAAGCACUUUAUUUGAUUUCCUUCGGGACUGAUUAUUUUGUGACUGAGUGGCGGACGGGUGAGUAACGCGUGGGUAACCUGCCUUGUACAGGGGGAUAACAGUUGGAAACGGCUGCUAAUACCGCAUAAGCGCCCAGCAUCGCAUGAUGCAGUGUGAAAAACUCCGGUGGUAUAAGAUGGACCCGCGUUGGAUUAGCUAGUUGGUGAGGUAACGGCCCACCAAGGCGACGAUCCAUAGCCGACCUGAGAGGGUGACCGGCCACAGUGGGACUGAGACACGGCCCAAACUCCUACGGGAGGCAGCAGUGGGGAAUAUUGCACAAUGGGCGAAAGCCUGAUGCAGCGACGCCGCGUGAGCGAAGAAGUAUUUCGGUAUGUAAAGCUCUAUCAGCAGGGAAGAUAAUGACGGUACCUGACUAAGAAGCACCGGCUAAAUACGUG